This 366-nucleotide unclassified non-coding RNA is filed under the name uncultured bacterium. RNAcentral describes it as "contains 16S-23S intergenic spacer region". The record is from RNAcentral.
UCCUCGUUAACCGAGGCAGUCUCGCAUGAAAAAUUCAACAUACGACAAGGGUUGCGCUCGUUGCGGGACUUAACCCAACAUCUCACGACACGAGCUGACGACGACCAUGCAGCACCUGUCACCGGUCCAGCAGACUGACUCUUUGGUUUCCCAAAGAUGCGACCGGGAUGUCAAGCCCUGGUAAGGUUCUUCGCUUAGCGUCGAAUUAAACCACACGCUCCACCGCUUGUGCGGGCCCCCGUCAAUUCCUUUGAGUUUUAAGCUUGCGCUCGUACUCCCCAGGCGGGGUGCUUAACGCGUUAGCUUCGAUACCCAGGGGGUCUAUUCCCCGAAUACCUAGCACCCAUCGUUUACGGCGUGGACUAC